This is an RNA transcript of Oxyura jamaicensis (ruddy duck), 5378 nucleotides long. It is a transcript of the gene named THO complex 2, with no coding region annotated. The transcript has 35 exons. NCBI's taxonomy places the organism in Eukaryota, Metazoa, Chordata, Aves, Anseriformes, Anatidae. The record is from RefSeq and is a predicted model, not a curated record.
GGCACGGCUCGGGCGGCUCCCGUCGUGCCCCGCGGCCUGCCGCGUCCCCUCUGACCCGCGGACGCCGCUCCCCCAUCCGGGCUCUCGGCGCCACACGGGGAAGAUGGCGGCCGCGAUCCCCGCCGAGUGGAUAAAGAACUGGGAGAAGGCGGGCAAGAACGAGUUUUUGCAACUGUGUCGCACUCUCAGUGAAAACAAAAGCCAUGAUAAUGUCGGUUUCAGAGAUAUCCAACAGGUUUUGUAUGAGCUUGCAUGUCAUGUUGUCAGAGGAAACCUAAAGCAUGAUCAAGCCUCUAAUGUUCUUGGUGAUGUUAUAGAAUUUCGGGAAGACAUGCCUUCCAUCUUAGCUGAUGUAUUCUGCAUAUUAGAUAUUGAAACAAGCUGUUUAGAAGAAAAAAGUAAGAGGGAUAAUUUUACUCAACUGGUAUUAGCCUGUUUGUAUCUUGUAUCUGAUACUGUCCUAAAGGAGCGUUUAGAUCCAGAAACACUAGAAUCACUAGGACUUAUCAAGCAGUCUCAACAGUUCAAUCAGAAAUCUGUUAAAAUAAAGACAAAGCUUUUUUAUAAACAACAAAAAUUUAAUUUGUUAAGAGAAGAGAAUGAAGGUUACGCAAAGCUGAUUGCAGAGCUGGGACAAGACUUAUCUGGAAAUAUCACUAGUGAUUUAAUCCUUGAAAAUAUCAAAUCUUUAAUAGGAUGUUUUAACCUUGAUCCCAACAGAGUUUUGGAUAUUAUCCUAGAAGUCUAUGAGUGCAGGCCUGAGUAUGAUGAUUUCUUUGUACCACUGAUAGAGUCAUACAUGUACAUGUGUGAACCACAAACUUUAUGCCAUAUCCUUGGGUUCAAAUUCAAAUUUUAUCAGGAUCCAAGUGGUGAAACGCCUCCUUCCUUAUACAGAGUUGCUGCUGUCUUGUUGCAACAUAAUCUGAUAGAUUUGGAAGAUCUUUAUGUCCAUCUUCUUCCAGGGGAUAAUGCCAUCAUUGAAGAACACAAGCGAGAAAUAGUGGAAGCUAAGCAAAUUGUCAGAAAACUUACAAUGGUUGUCUUAUCCUCUGAAAAGACUGAGGAAAAGGAGAAGGAAAAAGAAAAAGAGGAGGAGAAAACUGAAAAGCCACCUGAUAAUCAGAAACUUGGUUUAUUGGAAGCUUUAUUAAAUAUUGGUGAUUGGCAGCAUGCACAAAGUAUUAUGGAUCAGAUGCCUCCAUUUUAUGCUACUUCACAUAAGCCUAUUGCAAUUGCCCUUUGCCAGCUGUUGCAUGUGACAAUUGAACCUUUGUACCGCAGGGUUGGUGUACCAAAAGGGGCAAAAGGGUCACCAGUUUCUUCUUUGCCAAACAAGAGAGCACCAAAACAAGCAGACAGCUUUGAAGACUUGAGAAAGGAAGUGUUCAACAUGCUGUGCUACCUUGGUCCUCAUCUCUCCCACGAUCCCAUUUUAUUUGCUAAAGUGGUGCGCCUUGGAAAAGCAUUUAUGAAAGAGGUUGGAACUACGAAGAAAUUCAUCAGUGACAGAAUGGUUAAGUUUCAGUCUGAUGGAAGUAAGCAAGAAGAUAAAGAGAAAAUGGAGAUACUGUUUAGCUGUUUUCUGAGUAUUACCGAUCAAGUUUUGCUUCCAUCUCUUUCUUUGAUGGACUGCAAUGCAUGCAUGUCUGAGGAAUUAUGGGGAAUGUUCAAAACAUUUCCUUACCAGUACCGGUACCGUCUUUAUGGACAAUGGAAGAACGAAACCUACAAUAGUCAUCCGCUUCUAGUGAAAGUUAAAGCUCAAACCAUAGACCGAGCCAAAUAUAUUAUGAAGCGUCUGACUAAAGAAAAUGUGAAACCAUCUGGAAGACAAAUUGGAAAGCUCAGCCACAGCAAUCCUACGAUUUUAUUUGAUUAUAUUUUAUCACAAAUACAAAAAUACGAUAACUUAAUAACCCCAGUUGUUGAUUCACUGAAAUACCUCACUUCACUGAAUUACGAUGUCUUGGCAUACUGUAUCAUUGAAGCACUGGCAAAUCCCGAGAAGGAGAGAAUGAAACAUGAUGACACUACUAUUUCAAGCUGGCUUCAGAGUCUGGCUAGCUUUUGUGGUGCUGUUUUCAGAAAAUACCCAAUUGAACUUGCUGGUCUACUUCAAUAUGUAGCCAACCAACUGAAAGCUGGGAAAAGCUUUGAUUUGCUUAUUUUAAAAGAGGUAGUACAAAAAAUGGCAGGGAUAGAAAUUACAGAAGAAAUGACGAUGGAGCAAUUGGAAGCCAUGACUGGUGGAGAACAACUAAAAGCUGAGGGUGGAUACUUUGGUCAAAUCAGGAAUACAAAAAAAUCCUCUCAGAGAUUGAAAGACGCAUUAUUGGACCAUGACCUUGCCCUUCCACUGUGCCUGCUUAUGGCUCAGCAGAGAAAUGGUGUGAUCUUUCAAGAGGGAGGGGAAAAACAUCUGAAGCUGGUGGGAAAACUGUAUGACCAGUGCCAUGACACCCUGGUACAAUUUGGUGGGUUUCUAGCAUCCAAUCUAAGCACAGAGGAUUACAUUAAGCGAGUGCCUUCAAUUGACGUUCUCUGUAAUGAAUUUCACACACCUCAUGACGCUGCGUUUUUCCUCUCGAGACCUAUGUAUGCACACCAUAUUUCAUCCAAGUAUGAUGAACUAAAAAAAGCUGAAAAGGGAAAUAAACAGCAGCACAAGGUUCACAAAUAUAUUACAGCAUGUGAGCUGGUAAUGGCACCUGUUCAUGAUGCUGUGAUCUCUCUGCACCAUCCCAAGGUCUGGGAUGAUAUCAGUCCUCAGUUCUAUGCUACAUUCUGGUCUUUGACAAUGUAUGACCUUGCUGUCCCACAUAGUAGCUACGAUAGAGAAGUCAAUAAACUUAAAGUCCAGAUGAAAGCCAUAGAUGACAAUCAGGAAAUGCCUCCAAAUAAAAAGAAAAAAGAAAAAGAACGUUGCACAGCUCUUCAAGACAAGCUCCUUGAAGAGGAGAAGAAGCAGUUGGAGCAUGUGCAAAGGGUUCUACAGAGACUGAAACUGGAGAAGGAUAACUGGCUUCUGGCAAAGUCUACCAAAAAUGAGACUAUCACAAAAUUUUUGCAGUUAUGUAUAUUUCCUCGCUGCAUUUUUUCGGCAAUCGAUGCAGUUUAUUGUGCUCACUUUGUAGAACUGGUGCAUCAGCAGAAAACACCCAACUUCUCCACACUUCUCUGCUAUGACAGAGUUUUCUCUGAUAUUAUAUAUACAGUAGCAAGUUGCACUGAAAAUGAAGCUAGUAGAUAUGGCAGGUUUUUAUGCUGUAUGCUGGAGACUGUGACUAGAUGGCACAGUGACAGAGUCAUAUAUGAAAAGGAAUGUGGCAACUAUCCAGGCUUCCUAACCAUAUUACGGGCAACUGGAUUUGAUGGUGGAAAUAAAGCUGAUCAAUUGGAUUAUGAGAAUUUUAGACAUGUGGUACACAAAUGGCACUAUAAGUUAACUAAGGCUUCUGUACACUGCCUUGAAACAGGUGAAUAUACGCAUAUCAGAAACAUCCUGAUUGUGCUGACCAAAAUCCUCCCAUGGUAUCCAAAAGUGUUGAACCUGGGCCAAGCCUUGGAAAGAAGAGUACAUAAGAUAUGUCAGGAAGAGAAAGAGAAGAGACCUGAUCUAUAUGCAUUGGCUAUGGGCUAUUCUGGGCAGCUGAAAAGUAGGAAGCCUUUCAUGAUACCUGAAAAUGAAUUCCACCACAAAGACCCACCUGCCAGGAAUGCUGUAGCUGCAACAGUACAAAAUGGGCCAGGUGGUGCUGGGAUGCCUACAUCUCUCACAAUAAACACAGCUAAACUGGAGGAAAGCACUGCUGAAGAGACUGAAAAACUAAAGGAGAAGUCUCAGGGUGCUGUGAAAGUUAUUAAUAAAGCUGUCAACACUACACCGAAGGUGACAACAAGCAAUGGAAACAGUGCUUCUAAUAGCAAAAUUAUUAAGGAGAAAGAUGAUAAAGAAAAAAGUGGGAAGGAAAAAGAUAAAGAAAAAAAAGAAAAGAUUCCAGCUGCCACUCCAGAGAUGAAAACACUUGGGAAGGAUGGGAAAGACAAACCUAAGGAAGAACGGGUGAACAAAGAAGAUAAAGCAAGAGAGAUCAAGGAGAAAACACCAAAAUCUGACAAGGAGAAGGAAAAAGCCAAGAAAGAAGAAAAAGCUUCAAAGGAAGAAAAAUCCAAGACAGUUGUUACCACUGUCGAGUCAAAGUCAGCUGCAGAAAAGGAGAGAGAAAAGGAGCCACCCAGAGAAAAAGAUGUAGCCAAGGAUAUGAAAUCAAAGGAAAUUGCUAAAGGCGGAGAAAAGAUUCCAGUAGCUGGGUCCUUGAAGUCUCCUGUUCCCCGAUCAGAAACAUCAGAAUGUGAGAGGGAACAAAAACGCCGCAAAGUUGAUACCCAUUCUUCUCCAUCACAUUCCUCAACAGUAAAGGUUAGUAUAGCCUGAGGAAGGCAGCACCCAUGUUAGGCUCACAAGUUUGGGAUGCCAAUAUCCGACUUCCUUCAAGUUUUGUGCCAAGUAUACACUGGAGCCAAUGGAGGUUUUAUAUUGCAUUAGAAAAUGCAUUCCUUUUCUUUAUUGGCGGACUGUCUUUUUUCUAUUAAAGUAUAUUUUUAAUUAACCAAAGUAAAGCUUCAAGGACCUAGCACAAAUUUUGUAAAUAGUGUUUGGAAAUGGCAAGAGAAUUUUUACACAGAAGUGCCUCAUUGUUUUAAGCAGUCAGUUUUUUUGGAGUGCAAUGGUAGCUACAAGCAAAUGAGUCUUUGCAGCAGAAUGGAGCAUAUUUUUCUGCACUUCUAUUGAAGAAUCUAUAGCACUGAAGAUUCCUGGAUGAUACGGGAUGUAUGAUACCUCUGAAUUCAUCAGGCUUCUUGAUGAGCAUCUUACCGCUAUGUGCCUUCUAAGGAGGAGUCUUGAAAGGAGUUCCAUUUUAAAGUCUCCUUGGUGAUCAGUUCUCCUGUAGUUGUGUAUAAUCAGUGAGCAUGCAGCUUCUGUUGUACCUUCCCUUCGAGGUUUGUUUAUUUCCAAUGGGUUCCCACCAUGUUGAGCCCUGCGGUACGAUAAAACCAGAUGUGGCAACCAGGCCUACUACCCAGCAAAGAGAAACCCCAAGCAUUCAAGCGCAGCACAAUACCUUGGGCGUAGCCUACUCGAAGACUCAGGGUAGCCAUUCCUUGCUCCAUAUUUGUUUUAUUUCUAAACCAUCUAUGUUCAUGGAAUCUUUGAAUUUGCAGUACAUUGAACAUUUAAAACUGACAACCUCAACGAACUCAAGGAUUCUUCAGCAAAGCACUACAUUAACCACACUACUCCAACAUUGUCCAAGAGUAAAGAGAGAGAAGUGGACAAGAAAGAUUUGGACAAAUCAAGGGAAAGAUCCAGAGAG